UAGCUCAGUGGUAGAGCACGUGCUUAGCAUGCACAGGGUCCUGGGUUCAAUCUCCAG
Molecule: transfer RNA, 57 nt
Filed under: Camelus bactrianus (Bactrian camel)
Lineage: Eukaryota; Metazoa; Chordata; Mammalia; Artiodactyla; Camelidae
Also listed under: 2 other names
Rfam family: tRNA
About the family: Transfer RNA (tRNA) molecules are approximately 80 nucleotides in length.
Source: Rfam by way of RNAcentral